UACCUACGGGGGGCAGCAGUAGGGAAUCUUCCACAAUGGACGAAAGUCUGAUGGAGCAACGCCGCGGGAGUGAAGAAGGGUUUCGGCUCGUAAAGCUCUGUUGGUAGUGAAGAAAGAUAGAGGUAGUAACUGGCCUUUAUUUGACGGUAAUUACUUAGAAAGACACGGCUAACUACGUGCCAGCAGCCGCGGUAAUACGUAGGUGGCAAGCGUUGUCAGGAUUUAUUGGGGGUAAAGCGAGUGCAGGCGGUUCAAUAAAGCUGAUGUGAAAGGCUUCGG
This 279-nucleotide ribosomal RNA is filed under the name uncultured bacterium. RNAcentral's name for it is "partial 16S ribosomal RNA". It matches the Rfam family "Bacterial small subunit ribosomal RNA", at positions 335 to 607 of the family's 1533-position model. The record is from RNAcentral.